AAGAAAGCUUGCUUUCUUUGCUGGCGACCGGCGCACGGGUGAGUAACACGUAUCCAACCUACCCUUUACUCGGGGAUAGCCUUUCGAAAGAAAGAUUAAUACCCGAUAGCAUAAUGAUUCCGCAUGGUUUCAUUACUAAAGGAUUCCGGUAAAGGAUGGGGAUGCGUUCCAUUAGGUUGUUGGUGGGGUAACGGCCCACCAAGCCUUCGAUGGAUAGGGGUUCUGAGAGGAAGGUCCCCCACAUUGGAACUGAGACACGGUCCAAACUCCUACGGGAGGCAGCAUG
RNAcentral lists this ribosomal RNA (286 nucleotides) under uncultured bacterium. RNAcentral's name for it is "partial 16S ribosomal RNA". It matches the Rfam family "Bacterial small subunit ribosomal RNA", at positions 72 to 353 of the family's 1533-position model. The record is from RNAcentral.